RNAcentral lists this ribosomal RNA (416 nucleotides) under uncultured Gammaproteobacteria bacterium. RNAcentral's name for it is "bacterial SSU rRNA". It matches the Rfam family "Bacterial small subunit ribosomal RNA", at positions 9 to 416 of the family's 1533-position model. The record is from RNAcentral. Lineage: Bacteria; Pseudomonadati; Pseudomonadota; Gammaproteobacteria.
GAGUUUGAUCGUGGCUCAGAUUGAACGCUGGCGGCGGUGACUUAACACAUGCAAGUCGGAGCGGUAACAGGACGUAGCUAAUUACGUGCUGACGAGCGGCGAACGGUGAGUAAUGCUUCGGAAUCUUCCCGGUGGGUGGGGAAUAACUUGGGGAAACUCAAGCUAAUACCGCAUACGACCCUACGGGUGAAAGCGAGGGGAUCGCAAGACCUUGCGCCAUUGGAUGAGCCGAAGUCGGAUUAGCUAGUUGGUGGGGUAACGGCCUACCAAGGCGACGAUCCGUAGCUGGUCUGAGGAGGAUGAUCAGCCACACUGGAACUGAGACACGGUCCAGACUCCUACGGGAGGCAGCAGUGGGGAAUAUUGGACAAUGGCGCAAGGCCUGAUCCAGCCAUGCCGCGUGGGUGAAGAAGGCC